UACAGAGGUGGCAAGCGUUGUUCGGAAUUACUGGGCGUAAAGGGCUCGUAGGCGGCCAACUAAGUCAGACGUGAAAUCCCCAGGCUUAACCUGGGAACUGCGUCUGAUACUGGAUGGCUUGAAUUCGGGAGAGGGAUGCAGAAUUCCAGGUGUAGCGGUGAAAUGCGUAGAUAUCUGGAGGAAUACCGGUGGCGAAGGCGGCAUCCUGGACCGACAUUGACGCUGAGGAGCGAAAGCGUGGGGAGCGAACAGG
RNAcentral lists this ribosomal RNA (253 nucleotides) under uncultured bacterium. RNAcentral's name for it is "partial 16S ribosomal RNA". It matches the Rfam family "Bacterial small subunit ribosomal RNA", at positions 524 to 776 of the family's 1533-position model. The record is from RNAcentral.